AUGAAGGUUUUAUAACAGUAUUAUUUUUUAAGGCUUAAAAUUAAUUUGUAUUAAGUAUAAAAAUAUACUUAUAAAUCUAAGGGACGAUAAGACCCUAAAAGUUUGAUUUGAUUGUAAAUAAUAUAUAGUUGUAUGUGAUUUUUGCUGGGGUAGCAAGACUGUGAAAAAUACAGGUUUAAUAUAACAUGAGUGAAUGUAGAUCCUUUUUAUGAGGAUAAAUAAAAAAAAUUACUUUAGGGAUAACAGUGUAAUAAUUUUGGAGAGAUCAUAUCAAUAAAGUUGAUUGCCACCUCGAUGUUGAAUUAGAUUUAUUACCUCUAUGAAGAAGGAGAGGCAGAAGGUUUGUUCAACCUUUAAAUUUCUACAUGAUUU
RNAcentral lists this ribosomal RNA (372 nucleotides) under Harpiniinae sp. BOLD:ADF6763. RNAcentral's name for it is "partial 16S ribosomal RNA". Lineage: Eukaryota; Metazoa; Arthropoda; Malacostraca; Amphipoda; Phoxocephalidae. The record is from RNAcentral.